AGCUUUGUAGUCAAAUUUAUGAUAUUAAAUUGCAAAUUUAAAGGUGUGAUUAUACUAAAGCUU
Molecule: transfer RNA, 63 nt
Filed under: Notobitus montanus
Lineage: Eukaryota; Metazoa; Arthropoda; Insecta; Hemiptera; Coreidae
Description: tRNA-Cys
Source: RNAcentral